This 448-nucleotide ribosomal RNA is filed under the name uncultured Rikenellaceae bacterium. RNAcentral describes it as "bacterial SSU rRNA". It matches the Rfam family "Bacterial small subunit ribosomal RNA", at positions 938 to 1382 of the family's 1533-position model. Lineage: Bacteria; Pseudomonadati; Bacteroidota; Bacteroidia; Bacteroidales; Rikenellaceae. The record is from RNAcentral.
CAUUGUGGUUUUAAUUUCGAUGAGUACGACGAGGAACCUUACCUGGGCUCAAAUGUAUGUUGACGUUAUUCUGAAAGGGAUACUUCUUCGGACAAUAUACAAGGUGCUGCAUGGUUGUCGUCAGCUCGUGCCGUGAGGUGUCGGGUUAAGUCCCAUAACGAGCGCAACCCCUACUGCUAGUUGCCAGCGGGUCAUGCCGGGGACUCUAGCGGAACUGCCAGCGUAAGCUGCGAGGAAGGUGGGGAUGACGUCAAAUCAGCACGGCCCUUACGUCCAGGGCUACACACGUGUUACAAUGGCCGGUACAGAGGGCAGCCACCCCGCGAGGGGGCGCGAAUCCCGAAAGCCGGUCCCAGUUCGGAUCGGAGUCUGCAACCCGACUCCGUGAAGCUGGAUUCGCUAGUAAUCGCGCAUCAGCCACGGCGCGGUGAAUACGUUCCCGGGCCUU